AACUAUUUCCUCGAGUGUUAUAGUCAUUUGCCUAUUACCUAUUCUAAAAGCAGAACACUCUGGGUCCCAAAGAUGUACUAAAGCCUCUACCAAAUAACCGUUGGAUUUGAUCUCCUUAAAGUCUCCAAUCGGUCCUAAAUAUUGGUCUACUUGAUGCAAUUCACUGGGUAGCAUGAAGAUAGGCCAUUUUUAAACCUCAGUCAAUGGUAUCAACAACUGAUAAAUUCGGCGAGGGCAAUCCAUCU
RNAcentral lists this long non-coding RNA (245 nucleotides) under Coffea arabica (coffee). RNAcentral describes it as "long non-coding RNA (CARA_LNC006832)". The record is from RNAcentral. Lineage: Eukaryota; Viridiplantae; Streptophyta; Magnoliopsida; Gentianales; Rubiaceae.